CCUACGGGAGGCAGCAGUGGGGAAUUUUGGACAAUGGGCGCAAGCCUGAUCCAGCAAUGCCGCGUGAGUGAAGAAGGCCUUCGGGUUGUAAAGCUCUUUUGUCAGGGAAGAAACGGUGGUUCCUAAUAUGGACUACUAAUGACGGUACCUGAAGAAUAAGCACCGGCUAACUACGUGCCAGCAGCCGCGGUAAUACGUAGGGUGCAAGCGUUAAUCGGAAUUACUGGGCGUAAAGCGUGCGCAGGCGGUUAUAUAAGUCAGAUGUGAAAUCCCCGGGCUCAACCUGGGAACUGCAUUUGAGACUGUAUGGCUAGAGUGUGUCAGAGGGGGGUAGAAUUCCACGUGUAGCAGUGAAAUGCGUAGAUAUGUGGAGGAAUACCGAUGGCGAAGGCAGCCCCCUGGGAUAACACUGACGCUCAUGCACGAAAGCGUGGGGAGCAAACAGGAUUAGAUACCCUGGUAGUCCACGCCCUAAACGAUGUCUACUAGUUGUCGGGACUUAAUUGUCUUGGUAAACGCAGCUAACGCGUGAAGUAGACCGCCUGGGGAAGUACGGGUCGCAAAGNUUUAAAACUUAAAUGAAUUGACCGGNNGAGAGNGCGAGACGACACGAGGGAGGAGG
This 622-nucleotide ribosomal RNA is filed under the name uncultured bacterium. RNAcentral's name for it is "bacterial SSU rRNA". It matches the Rfam family "Bacterial small subunit ribosomal RNA", at positions 338 to 951 of the family's 1533-position model. The record is from RNAcentral.